ACUUCCUGUCCCCGCGGCUCUGUGUCCCCUGCUAGCCGUAGGUCGUGUGACCCGCAGGCACCGGGAGAUCCAGAAGUGAAACGCCAGGCUCUCUGGAGGCCAGGAGAUGGCACAGACACCUUACCAGAAUGUCUUUGGUUUGAGGUUCCACUUUGGAAACUUGACAGGGUGAUUUGCUCUCAGCCACCCUCUGGACUUUUUCCUCAGUUUCAGUAUUGUCCAGGGAUAACACAGGAUGCCCACCAUGGCCAUGUCUGCUGGAGCAUCUAGUGAAUUUCAGGCCCUGGGUUAUUUCUCAGAGGACAGCCUGAGGUAUGAAGUGUGGCCUCUCCAGGGAGCAGCUGGAUGCCCUGGGCUGAGAGAAAUCUCCUGGUCUACUCUUCCUCUAAAGAGGUGUGAUUUGUCCAGAGAAUCUUUCCUAAGAGGAAAUCCCAGAGAAGCAGGAGAAAGAGAAAGAAAUGGCUGGUGCUCAGACUCUGUUGACGUUCAGGGAUGUGGCCAUAGAAUUCUCCCUGGAGGAGUGGAAAUGCCUGGACCUCGCUCAGCAGAAUUUGUACAGGGAUGUGAUGUUGGAGAACUACAGAAACUUGUUCUCCGUUGGUCUCACUGUCUGUAAGCCAGGCCUGAUCACCUGCCUGGAGCAACGAAAAGAGCCCUGGAAUGUGAAGAGACAGGAGGCAGCAGACGGACAUCCAGCUAUGUCUUCUCAUUUUACCCAAGACCUUCUGCCAGAGCAGGGCAUACAAGAUGCAUUCCCAAAAAGAAUACUGAGAGGAUAUGGAAAUUGUGGCCUUGAUAAUUUAUAUUUAAGGAAAGACUGGGAAAGUUUAGAUGAGUGUAAGUUGCAAAAAGAUUAUAAUGGACUUAACCAAUGUUCAUCAACUACCCAUAGCAAAAUCUUUCAAUAUAAUAAAUAUGUUAAAAUCUUUGAUAACUUUUCAAAUUUACAUAGACGUAAUAUAAGUAAUACUGGAGAGAAACCUUUCAAAUGUCAAGAAUGUGGCAAAUCCUUUCAAAUGCUCUCAUUCCUAACUGAACAUCAGAAAAUUCACACUGGAAAAAAAUUCCAAAAAUGUGGAGAAUGUGGCAAAACCUUUAUCCAGUGCUCACACUUUACUGAACCUGAGAACAUUGACACUGGAGAGAAACCUUACAAGUGUCAAGAAUGUAACAACGUCAUUAAAACUUGCUCAGUCCUUACUAAAAAUAGAAUUUAUGCCGGAGGGGAACAUUACAGAUGUGAAGAAUUUGGCAAAGUAUUUAACCAGUGCUCCCACCUUACUGAACAUGAGCAUGGUACUGAGGAAAAACCCUGCAAAUAUGAAGAGUGCAGCAGUGUCUUUAUCUCUUGCUCAAGCCUUUCUAAUCAACAGAUGAUUCUUGCUGGAGAGAAGCUCUCCAAAUGUGAAACAUGGUACAAAGGUUUUAACCACAGCCCAAAUCCUUCCAAACACCAGAGAAAUGAGAUUGGAGGGAAACCUUUCAAAUGUGAGGAAUGUGACAGCAUCUUCAAGUGGUUCUCAGACCUUACUAAACAUAAGAGAAUUCACACUGGUGAGAAACCAUACAAAUGUGACGAAUGUGGGAAAGCCUAUACACAGUCCUCACACCUCAGUGAACACAGGAGGAUUCACACCGGAGAGAAACCCUACCAAUGUGAAGAAUGUGGGAAGGUCUUCAGAACUUGCUCAAGCCUUUCUAACCAUAAGAGAACUCAUUCUGAAGAAAAACCCUACACGUGUGAAGAAUGUGGCAACAUCUUUAAGCAGUUAUCAGACCUCACUAAGCAUAAGAAAACCCAUACUGGAGAGAAGCCCUACAAAUGUGACGAAUGUGGAAAAAACUUUACCCAGUCCUCCAACCUUAUUGUACAUAAGAGAAUUCAUACUGGAGAGAAACCCUACAAGUGUGAAGAAUGUGGCAGAGUCUUCAUGUGGUUCUCAGACAUUACCAAACAUAAGAAAACCCAUACUGGAGAGAAACCCUACAAAUGUGACGAAUGUGGAAAAAACUUUACCCAGUCCUCAAACCUUAUUGUACAUAAGAGAAUUCAUACUGGAGAGAAACCCUACAAGUGUGAAAAGUGUGGCAAAGCCUUCACCCAGUUCUCACACCUGACUGUACAUGAAAGCAUUCAUACUUGAGAAAAAAAUAAACAAAUAUAAAAAUAGGCAAAGCCGUUAGUAUCUGCUCGCAUCCCACUUUACAUCAGAGUUCAGACUUAAUAAAGUUAUCAUAAAUGUAAUUACUAUUGAAAGACCUUUCAUGAAAUAUAAGUCUCCAGAGCACACAAGAGUAUUUCUUCUGAAAAAAAUGUUACAAUUAUACUAGAUGGAAGACUUGCAUCAGUUGCUUAAACUUUCAGAAAAUUUGUAGAGAAACCCAACAAAUCUCAUAAAUGUGGAAUAACAUUUGUUCAAAAAUGAUAGCUUAGAAAACACUAGAGUUCAUACUAAAAGAUAUUUUGCAAAUACACUAAAUGGGAAAAAUAAGCAAGGACACGUUCAGAAAUGACACUGAAUCCCUGUGUUGAGUCUACAGAGACAUCUAGACUUAAAAUAGAUCAUUUAUAUUUAAGUUUAAAAGGAGGAUGAGACUGAGUUUUUGUAGAGUUAUAAUUACAUUCAAAAUAUACUUUUUUGCAUUGAAAAAAUGUUAAAUUUUUGAAAAGCGAAUAUUGAUGUCAUUCUAUUCUCAAAUCAGUAGAUGCUGUGUCUUCAUUUCUAGUGCUGAUGUGAAAACACAUGGUCAGUUGUUGCUGCGUCAGAGAUAUGAGAAAUUCUUUUCUCUUAGGUGUGCAUCACUGAUAUACUUGUCCGUGAAAGGUGAAAGACACUGAAAUGUAAGAUGCGUGAGUAAAAUCUUGGUAGAGAGGCUCUUUGUGGUUGUUUUAUAUACUUGUAAGUGAUUUAUGAGAUAGGUGUUUAGAAUAAUACUCUUCUGUUAGGGUCACCCUGAUCAGACCGUUCCCUUCCCCUCCCACAGGACUUACAAUACGGUCCCUUGUGCUCUCUGCACAGCUACCCCAGGGCAAAAAACAAACCCCCCUUCACUGAUCCCUCCAGUAACUGUGCAGACAGUUACAGGAUGCGGUUAACAUGUCUGUUCACCUCGCAUAACAAAGCUGGCAAAAAACAUCUCCAGGAUGCAGACAAGACACCUGCACCCUCGACUAAGCUCCCCCACCCCAACCCAGUUCUCCUGCACCCCCAACUCAGCUCCCGCACCCCGACCUAGUUCUGGCCCUAUAAAAACCUGCUAUAGUCUGUAAGCAGGGCUGCCUCCUCUAACUGUGGUGGAGCAGCCAAGCAGCUCAAUAAAGCUUGCUUGCCUGA
RNA transcript from Homo sapiens (human), 3335 nucleotides. It is a transcript of the gene named zinc finger protein 195, with no coding region annotated. The transcript is spliced from 6 exons. Lineage: Eukaryota; Metazoa; Chordata; Mammalia; Primates; Hominidae. The record is from RefSeq and is marked reviewed.